RNAcentral lists this ribosomal RNA (492 nucleotides) under uncultured bacterium. RNAcentral's name for it is "partial 16S ribosomal RNA". It matches the Rfam family "Bacterial small subunit ribosomal RNA", at positions 29 to 507 of the family's 1533-position model. The record is from RNAcentral.
AGUGAACGCUGGCGGUAGGCCUAACACAUGCAAGUCGAACGGCAGCACAGUAAGAGCUUGCUCUUACGGGUGGCGAGUGGCGGAUGGGUGAGGAAUACAUCGGAAUCUACUUUUUCGUGGGGGAUAACGUAGGGAAACUUACGCUAAUACCGCAUACGACCUACGGGUGAAAGCAGGGGAUCUUCGGACCUUGCGCGAUUGAAUGAGCCGAUGUCGGAUUAGCUAGUUGGCGGGGUAAAGGCCCACCAAGGCGACGAUCCGUAGCUGGUCUGAGAGGAUGAUCAGCCACACUGGAACUGAGACACGGUCCAGACUCCUACGGGAGGCAGCAGUGGGGAAUAUUGGGCAAUGGGCGCAAGCCUGAUCCAGCCAUGCCGCGUGAGUGAAGAAGGCCUUCGGAUUGUAAAGCCCUUUUAUUGGGGAAGAAAAGCAGCAGAUUAAUACCCCGCUGUUCUGACGGUACCCAAAGAAUAAGCACCGGCUAACUUCGUG